AGUGAACGCUGGCGGUAGGCCUAACACAUGCAAGUCGAACGGCAGCACAGUAAGAGCUUGCUCUUACGGGUGGCGAGUGGCGGACGGGUGAGGAAUACAUCGGAAUCUACUUUUUCGUGGGGGAUAACGUAGGGAAACUUACGCUAAUACCGCAUACGACCUACGGGUGAAAGCAGGGGAUCUUCGGACCUUGCGCGAUUGAAUGAGCCGAUGUCGGAUUAGCUAGUUGGCGGGGUAAAGGCCCACCAAGGCGACGAUCCGUAGCUGGUCUGAGAGGAUGAUCAGCCACACUGGCACUGCGACACGGUCCAGACUCCUACGGGAGGCAGCAGUGGGGAAUAGUGGACAAUGGGCGCAAGCCAGAUCCAGCCAUACCGCGUGGGUGAAGAAGGCAUUCGGGUUGUAAAGCCCUUUUGUUGGGAAAGAAAAGCAGCAGGUUAAUACCCCGCUGUUCUGACGGUACCCAACGAAUAAGCACCGGCUAACUUCGUG
Molecule: ribosomal RNA, 492 nt
Filed under: uncultured bacterium
Lineage: Bacteria
Description: partial 16S ribosomal RNA
Rfam family: Bacterial small subunit ribosomal RNA
Source: RNAcentral